Molecule: ribosomal RNA, 305 nt
Filed under: uncultured bacterium
Lineage: Bacteria
Description: bacterial SSU rRNA
Rfam family: Bacterial small subunit ribosomal RNA
Source: RNAcentral
AUACCUACGGGACGCAGCAGUGAGGAAUAUUGGUCAAUGGGCGCGAGCCUGAACCAGCCAAGUCGCGUGAGGGAAGACGGUCCUAUGGAUUGUAAACCUCUUUUGUCGGGGAGCAAAAGACGCCACGCGUGGCGUUCCGAGAGUACCCGAAGAAAAAGCAUCGGCUAACUCCGUGCCAGCAGCCGCGGUAAUACUGAGGAUGCGAGCGUUAUCCGUAUUUAUUGUGUUUAAAGGUUGCGCAGGCGGAAGAUCAAGUCAGCGUUAAAAUUGAGAGUCUCAACCUCUUCGAGCCGUUGAAACUUGUU